CGCCGCGCGCGCGCACUGGGCGUGAGGUCCGGCCCGGCCGUCUCUCUCGUCCUCCCGCUGUGCACACCUUAGGGGCCUCGUAACCGGUACCGAGUGGGGACCGCUGGACUAGGUCGACAAGGAGGGAGCCCGGGGACAGAGCGCCAAGCACCCUCAGUCUGCCACCCACAGGUGCCCCGGCGCCCCCUACGAGACCCAGCUGGAGCAUGGCGGGGUCAGGCCGCUCCGCCCUCCAUCCAUCCCUUCUCUUCGGUGGCUCGGCAAGAGGGAAGGAACCUGGUAUGCAACACGCUGGGCCGGGGACAUGCCUAUUCCUGAUGAGACGAAGACUUAUGCAGUGCCUCCCUUCAUCCUGGCCGAAAAUGAUCGCAGAACUUUCAACUGUCCUGAGCCCCACCUGGAAGAUGCAGGACCAUCUCCCACCCAGUGGAGCCUUCAUUUUGAAGGAAACCUUAAUUCAUCUCUGCUGGGGGGGAACUGACAUGUCCACAUCUUCUGAGUCCAGGAUAUGGCGUUACGAGGUCCUUAUUCUGAAGACUAUACAGGAAAAUGAAUUUCUAGAAAAACAAAUGGACGAAGGCUUCCUAGUUGUGGCCCACGAUUCUUUGUUGAGAGGACUGAGAGACAUAGCUCACUCUGUCGAGUGGUGGCAAUGUCUCUAAGCACUGUCCUCCUCUGGCCCUGGGCUGGCUGACUCAGGGGGUCAGUUCACCCCAGUUGGAGGAGCAGGGGUAGGGGUUCUGGAGUCAUGGAAGGCUCACUACCCUUUCAAGUAAGGACUACCAGCAAGGAGAUUGUUCUGCUGGCUUCCCUUACUAGAGGAGCCCAAAGGAUGUUCACAUGCAGACAUGCCAUGCACACACAUGUAAAUACCAUGUUCACACCGAGACACACAAAACGCAUGUCCACACUCUCACACAAAUGACACACAUGAACAGAGAUGUGCAUAUACAUACAUGGAGAUACACAUCAAUGACACGUGUGCAUACACAAACACACACACAGACACAAACACAUAUGUGAGAAAUCAUGGCCCUGUCUUUUCUGUCAAGGAUGCAAACAGGAGCUCCUCCACCUUAAACUUUAUUUCACCCUAGGCUACCCUCCUCCACCUCAUGCACCUGGGUUGCAGUUGUUACAACUGAAUACCAGGAACACCUUGUGCGGAGGACAUUCAGUUCCCCCUGCUCUCAAACCCCUUGCCCAGCAACCCUUCAGGCCCUCCCCUCAUCCACCUAGCUUAGCCAUUUGGAGUAGAUUGUGAGCCUUCAAUGCAGCCAAUGGGGAAACGGUCAGCUGCUUCUCAUGCACUAGGACAUACAGAGAGCCUGCUGCUGCCUUUCUGUGUGCUUGCUACCUCACCUUAGUGUUGUAGCUCACCCUUCUGCAGAAGUAAACUUCCUUGUUGAGAUUUCUUGGUGUGUGAGUACUUUAUUUCGGCAUCUACAAAUCGAGUCUAGAGCUUAUUGCCAACAACAUGCACAUGCACAGCUAAUGUACCUACACACAUGAAUACAUGUGCCCAGAGACACAACACAGGCACAAGUUCAUCCAUGGGUACGCACACAUACAGAGACAGACGUGCAUACAUGUGCAGACACACAAGAUCAAUAUUAGCUAAGUGGCUAUACGUGUAAUCCUAUCAGUUGAUUGUAGUCUGACCCAUGUUGUACCCACAUUGUGACUUCGCUGUAUAAACUACCCCCGACAAAGGGUGUCCAUGGCCACCCUCUUGGGACACCUCCUGGAUACCCAGGAGCUAUUCUUUUCCUUAUUUCCAACAAAACGGCCCCCAUUUCCUCCUUUGUUUUGUGCCUUCAUUCCUUGAUGUUGUGAGACCACGAAGUCAGCACAUCUAACAUCUAUCAGGUUGGGAGUUAUUUUCCCCAUACAAAGGGAGAACAAGUGAGAAGUGGAACCAAAGAGCAGUCAGAACUUCAGACAAAGUCCUGUGUCCUCAGCCCUCUGGGCCUGGAACGAGAGAAGAGGGAUUAGGCUCUGUAGGAAGAGGAGGUAGAUUUAGGAACUUCUAAAGGCCAAACUGAUAGGCUGAUGGGGAGCAAGACUGAGGGUGUAGAAUACCAGCAAGGUCUCCAGGGCCCCCCUGAAGGCACAGUGGGAAGACAGGACACAGGAACCAGGGAAAGAUAGCAAGUAACUUGCAGGGCUCAGAGCUGGGGUACACAGCGGAGUGCGGGGUGGGGGUGUUUAGGGCAGGCCUGGACACUGGGUGUGGGGUCUGAAUGUCCACGAUGAAUGGGAAUGUGGGGUGGCUUUGCUCUUGGUGGGAACUGGGGCCUGAGUGUAGACCAGCAAGUCCAGGGUGUGAGUCAGGAGCA
This 2339-nucleotide long non-coding RNA is filed under the name Fukomys damarensis (Damara mole-rat). RNAcentral's name for it is "lncRNA (ENSFDAG00000027917.1)". The record is from RNAcentral. Lineage: Eukaryota; Metazoa; Chordata; Mammalia; Rodentia; Bathyergidae.